RNAcentral lists this ribosomal RNA (423 nucleotides) under Gerris caucasicus. RNAcentral describes it as "partial 16S large subunit ribosomal RNA". Lineage: Eukaryota; Metazoa; Arthropoda; Insecta; Hemiptera; Gerridae. The record is from RNAcentral.
GAUAUGAACUCUCCGAAAAAAUUACGCUGUUAUCCCUAAGGUAAGUUAAUCUUAUAAUCAAAAAUUCUGGAUCAAAAAAACAUAAAUUAAUGAAUAAAAUAUUAAAAGUUAAAUAAAUUUUAAUGUCACCCCAACAAAACUUUAUAUUCUAAAAAAUUAUUUAAUAAACAAAAAAUAAUAAUUAAUAAAUAAAGUAAACUUCUAUAGGGUCUUCUCGUCCUAUAAAAAAAUUUUAGCCUUUUAACUAAAAGAUUAAAUUCAAAAUAAUUAAAAAAAGAAAGUUUAUUUUUCAUCAAACCAUUCAUACUAGCCUUCAAUUAAAAGACAAAUGAUUAUGCUACCUUCGUACAGUUAAAAUACCGCAGCCUUUUAAUUCAUAAAAAUCAAUGGGCAGGUCUGAUCUUAAAUUAAAAUCAAAAGACC